CCUACGGGAGGCAGCAGUGAGGAAUAUUGGUCAAUGGACGAGAGUCUGAACCAGCCAAGUAGCGUGAAGGAUGACUGCCCUAUGGGUUGUAAACUUCUUUUAUAUGGGAAUAAAAUGUUCCACGUGUGGGAUUUUGUAUGUACCAUAUGAAUAAGGAUCGGCUAACUCCGUGCCAGCAGCCGCGGUAAUACGGAGGAUCCGAGCGUUAUCCGGAUUUAUUGGGUUUAAAGGGAGCGUAGGUGGGUUGUUAAGUCAGUUGUGAAAGUUUGCGGCUCAACCGUAAAAUUGCAGUUGAAACUGGCAGUCUUGAGUACAGUAGAGGUGGGCGGAAUUCGUGGUGUAGCGGUGAAAUGCUUAGAUAUCACGAAGAACUCCGAUUGCGAAGGCAGCUCACUGGACUGCAACUGACACUGAGGCACGAAAGCGUGGGUAUCGAACAGGAUUAGAUACCCGGGUAGUC
RNAcentral lists this ribosomal RNA (460 nucleotides) under uncultured bacterium. RNAcentral's name for it is "partial 16S ribosomal RNA". It matches the Rfam family "Bacterial small subunit ribosomal RNA", at positions 338 to 795 of the family's 1533-position model. The record is from RNAcentral.